GUGAAAUUGUUGAAAGGGAAGCGCUUGCAACCAGACUUGCACGCUGCCGAUCAUCCGGGGUUCUCCCCGGUGCACUCGGUUGCGUUCAGGCCAGCAUCGGUUUGGGUGGUUGGAUAAAGGCCUUGGGAAUGUAGCUUCCUUCGGGGAGUGUUAUAGCCCUCGGUGCAAUGCAGCCUACCCGGACCGAGGACCGCGCUUCGGCUAGGAUGCUGGCGUAAUGGUUGUAAGCGACCCGUCUUGAAACACGGACCAAGGAGUCUAACAUCUAUGCGAGUGUUUGGGUGUCAAACCCAUACGCGUAAUUAACGUGAACGGAGGUAAGAACCCUUAAGGGUGCAUUAUCGACCGAUCCUGAUGUCUUCGGAUGGAUUUGAGUAAGAGCAUAGCUGUUGGGACCCGAAAGAUGGUGAACUAUGCCUGAAUAGGGUGAAGCCAGAGGAAACUCUGGUGGAGGCUCGCAGCGGUUCUGACGUGCAAAUCGAUCGUCAAAUUUGGGUAUAGGGGCGAAAGACUAAUCGAACCAUCUAGUAGCUGGUUCCUGCCGAAGUUUCCCUCAGGAUAGCAGUGUUGAAUUCAGUUUUAUGAGGUAAAGCGAGUGAUUAGAGGCCUUGGGGUUGAAACAACCUUAACCUAUUCUCAAACUUUAAAUAUGUAAGAAGUCCUUGUUACUUAAUUGAACGUGGACAUUCGAAUGUACCAACACUAGUGGGCCAUUUUUGGGAAGCAGAACUGGCGAUGC
RNAcentral lists this ribosomal RNA (739 nucleotides) under uncultured Ascomycota. Its description in RNAcentral is "LSU rRNA". It matches the Rfam family "Eukaryotic large subunit ribosomal RNA", at positions 399 to 1159 of the family's 3401-position model. Lineage: Eukaryota; Fungi; Ascomycota. The record is from RNAcentral.